AAGAGCGAUCUGAAGCAGUGAUCCGAAGCCCCAGUGAACGGCGGCCGUAACUAUAACGGUCCUAAGGUAGCGAAAUUCCUUGUCAGGUAAGUUCUGACCCGCAUGAAAGGCGUAAUGAUCUGGGCACUGUCUCAACAGCCCGCCCGGCGAAAUUGUAGUACCGGUGAAGAUGCCGGUUACCCGCGACAAGACGGAAAGACCCCAUGGAGCUUUACUGUAGCCUGAUAUUGGGUUUCGGAAAUCUAUGUACAGGAUAGGCGGGAGACUGGGAAACAUGAGCGUCAGCUUGUGUGGAGUCGAUGUUGGGAUACCGCCCUUAGGUUUCUGGAAUUCUAACCUGCGGCCGUGAAUCCGGUCGGGGGACAUUGUCAGGUGGGCAGUUUGACUGGGGCGGUCGCCUCCUAAAGAGUAACGGAGGCGUUCAAAGGUUCGCUCAGCUUGAACGGAAAUCAAGCAAAAGAGUGCAAACGCAGAAGCGAGCCUAACUGCGAGACUGACGGGUCGAGCAGUAACGAAAGUUGGAGUUAGUGAUCCGGUGGUAUGUGAGUGGAAAUGCCAUCGCUCAACGGAUAAAAGUUACCCUGGGGAUAACAGGCUGAUCUCCCCCAAGAGUCCACAUCGACGGGGAGGUUUGGCACCUCGAUGUCGGCUCAUCGCAUCCUGGGGCUGUAUUCGGUCCCAAGGGUUUGGCUGUUCGCCAAUUAAAGCGGUACGCGAGCUGGGUUCAGAACGUCGUGAGACAGUUCGGUCCCUAUCCGGCGCGGGCGGAGGAUAUUUGAGAGGAGCUGUCCUUAGUACGAGAGGACCGGGAUGGACGGACCACUGGUGUAUCUGUUGUCGACCAACGGCAUGGCAGAGUAGCCAAGUCUGGAAGGGAUAAACGCUGAAGGCAUCUAAGCGUGAAGCCCCCCUCAAGAUGAGAUAUCCCUCCUUCGGGAGUAAGACCCCUUGAAGACUACAAGGUAGAUAGGGCAGAGGUGGAAGUGUGGCAACACAUGGAGCUGACUGUUACUAAUCGGGUGAGGGCUUGACCAA
Molecule: ribosomal RNA, 1035 nt
Filed under: human gut metagenome
Description: bacterial LSU rRNA
Rfam family: Bacterial large subunit ribosomal RNA
Source: RNAcentral